Molecule: ribosomal RNA, 495 nt
Filed under: uncultured bacterium
Lineage: Bacteria
Description: partial 16S ribosomal RNA
Rfam family: Bacterial small subunit ribosomal RNA
Source: RNAcentral
GACGAACGCUGGCGGCGUGCCUAAUACAUGCAAGUAGAACGCUGAAGGAGGAGCUUGCUUCUCCGGAUGAGUUGCGAACGGGUGAGUAACGCGUAGGUAACCUGCCUGGUAGCGGGGGAUAACUAUUGGAAACGAUAGCUAAUACCGCAUAACAGUAGAUGUUGCAUGACAUUUGCUUAAAAGGUGCAAUUGCAUCACUACCAGAUGGACCUGCGUUGUAUUAGCUAGUUGGUGGGGUAACGACUCACCAAGGCGACGAUACAUAGCCGACCUGAGAGGGUGAUCGGCCACACUGGGACUGAGACACGGCCCAGACUCCUACGGGAGGCAGCAGUAGGGAAUCUUCGGCAAUGGACGGAAGUCUGACCGAGCAACGCCGCGUGAGUGAAGAAGGUUUUCGGAUCGUAAAGCUCUGUUGUAAGAGAAGAACGAGUGUGAGAGUGGAAAGUUCACACUGUGACGGUAUCUUACCAGAAAGGGACGGCUAACUACGUG